Molecule: ribosomal RNA, 117 nt
Filed under: Omnitrophica WOR_2 bacterium RIFCSPHIGHO2_02_FULL_68_15
Lineage: Bacteria; Pseudomonadati; Candidatus Omnitrophota
Source: RNAcentral
CCGAGUGCUCAUACCGCAGGGGCCACACCCGAUCCCAUUCCGAAUUCGGUCGUUAAGCCCUGCAGGGGCGAUGGUACUGCCUUGGCAACGAGGUGGGAGAGUAGCACGGUGCUCGGG